AGAGUUUGAUCCUGGCUCAGAUUGAACGCUGGCGGCAUGCCUAACACAUGCAAGUCGAACGGCAGCACAGUCCUGCACUUAAAUCGCUUUGGAGAGAGUGAUUUAAGUGCGGGAUGGGUGGCGAGUGGCGGACGGGUGAGUAAUGCGUAGGAAUCUGUCCUAGAGAGUGGGAUAACCCGAGGAAACUGGGGCUAAUACCA
Molecule: ribosomal RNA, 200 nt
Filed under: uncultured bacterium
Lineage: Bacteria
Description: partial 16S ribosomal RNA
Rfam family: Bacterial small subunit ribosomal RNA
Source: RNAcentral